UUUGAAUAGCCAAAACAAUAUUACUUUUGGGUGGUUUUUUGUUUAAUUUUGGUAACAUUAGCCGAACGUCUGCAUCCGAGGAACAACACUUGUUAACGGGUAAGAGAGGCCAAUCGGCAGAUAGAGGCAGCAGGAAAAUAGCAUUAUACUGUACAUUCCUGAUUGUAUAGUUUAUUUAUUAUUAUGAUCAUGAUUGUUUGUUGUUGUUUGACAGUGGCAACACUGGAAUAAUGCUGCAGAGAGGAACAGCGGCUACCAAAGUGAUGGUCAUCUCUCCUGGAUCCACAAGAACUAAGACGUAAAAACACAAGCCUACCUCACAGGACUAUUUUAAGAGACAUGCCCAAUAUGG
Molecule: long non-coding RNA, 352 nt
Organism: Sander lucioperca (pikeperch)
Lineage: Eukaryota; Metazoa; Chordata; Actinopteri; Perciformes; Percidae
Exons: 3
Source: RefSeq, a predicted model, not a curated record